AACGAACGCUGGCGGCAUGCCUAACACAUGCAAGUCGAACGAUGGCUUCGGCCAUAGUGGCGCACGGGUGCGUAACGCGUGGGAAUCUACCCUUUGCUACGGAAUAACUCGGGGAAACCCGUGCUAAUACCGUAUGAUGUCGCAAGACCAAAGAUUUAUCGGCAAGGGAUGAGCCCGCGUAGGAUUAGCUAGUUGGUGGGGUAAAGGCCUACCAAGGCGACGAUCCUUAGCNGGUCUGAGAGGAUGAUCAGCCACACUGGGACUGAGACACGGCCCAGACUCCUACGGGAGGCAGCAGUGGGGAAUAUUGGACAAUGGGCGAAAGCCUGAUCCAGCAAUGCCGCGUGAGUGAUGAAGGCCUUAGGGUUGUAAAGCUCUUUUACCCGGGAUGAUAAUGACAGUACCGGGAGAAUAAGCCCCGGCUAACUCCGUGCCAGCAGCCGCAGU
RNAcentral lists this ribosomal RNA (447 nucleotides) under uncultured bacterium. RNAcentral's name for it is "bacterial SSU rRNA". It matches the Rfam family "Bacterial small subunit ribosomal RNA", at positions 29 to 521 of the family's 1533-position model. The record is from RNAcentral.